CUCUGUGCCAUCAGUCGUAGAGUGACGGCCAUUGCUGUAACAUCACUAAUCUGAGGCGUGAACAUUAGGACCACUUUAAUGGUAAGGAAAUCCUUUUCGUUAGUGAUGGAGAUCACUGUCUGGUGAGAGACUGUGCACAUCAACGUCUUCAUCUGUUAGAAGAGAACCUACUUCCCGCAUACUGCAGUGUUACGUGACAUAUAUAAGAAAUGCACAUUCAGAUGCCUCUUCCUAAACAUUUAUUUUUCAAAGUAAAAAAAAAAAAGCUUCUGUCUGGGAAAGUCGCUGAUGAAGUGCUACUUCGGAGAAAGAAUUGUCUUUUAUCCACAGAGCAUUUGAUAGAAUUUCCCCAACUCCUACCUGAUUUGAGGCACUCAAUCACAGAUCAAUGAGCAUUAGUCUGAUUCACUGCUUGUAACAGCCAUUAUAUUAAUAUAUCCGGGCACCUGAAUAGGUGGCUGCCCUUGGCUACUGCGUUAUUCUUAUGUAGAAAAAUAGUGCUUUGCAGUGAAUGAGGUUUAAUGAAGAUCAGUCAUGACAUUUAACAACAUUGUAUCUUAGCAUUUCCUGACCGUAGUUACUGUUAAGUUUUUAAAGUUUAAUGCUUAAAAGAAGAUUCUGGCAAAUCAUUUGUUUACCUGUUGAAAGCAUUGUGCAGACUUCUCAAAGUGCUGCAGAUUAGGUAACUGUGAAUGUUUCAGUUAGACAGACUGCUUCAAAUGCAACCACUUCACAGCUAAAACAGGCACACUGCAAUAUAGGUUGCAUGAAAGGAGUUCAGACCUCGUUGGCAUCCUGAAAAUCUGCAACACUGUCCUCUGGAUAUAGCUUCAAGCAGAGAAUUGUCAUAGUAUUCGUAAAGAUAUAUCUGUAUUGGAUAUAUAUAAAAAAAAAAUAGCAACUCGCUGGUAAAUGUGGUUCAAUUUAACACUCAUGUAGUACAGUUAGUAAUUAAUAUUGUUUCAGUUAAUGAAAAAGACAGAUAAGCCUAUUGGUGUGUAGCGGCAACAGGCCGUUAUGGUUUAAAUAAAAUAAAUUGUAUAUAUAUAUAUAUAUAUAUAUAUCACGUUGGUUGUUAAAGCAGAAUUUUAGGGGGACUCUUUAAGAGCCAUUUGAUAACAUCUAGGGCUUUUCAAUCUGCUAAAACGCUGCUGAGUGAGUACGUGUACUGGUCUAUAAGUAGUAAUGGUUACAAUGCUAUUAGUUUCCCUUUAAGAAUUUAGUAGAUUACCUAUUUUUCAGUUCAGAACAUCAACAUGGUCAGGGCUGUUAAAGAGAGAAUUGCUGGGAAUUUCGAAAUUUAGACCUAAAUAGCGGAUUUAGAAAAAGUCAAUUCUACAUGACUGUUAUGACCUAAAAUUUGAGAUUUUGACCUGGAAUGUGAGAUUUCUAGUAAUUUUCACUUGAGUGAUUAACCUUGUCUGAGUGAUAGACUCUCCACAUUCGAUUUAUCCACCAAACUGGGAAGUAUGUGAAUUGAGCAGGACUUUUUUGGACCUCAGUUGCUAAAUUGUAGAAUGUUUUUAAUUUGAACUAUUCUGGCCCACAAAUUGUACUGCUUUGUAAAUGUUCCACAGUUCACAGUUUAAUAAUUAAUGAAUAAAAUCCAUGUUUUAAAAUUGGUCACUAUGGAGUCUAGCGUUCUUUUCUUAUUAACCUAAUUAUUUUCUAUAUCUCUACAGGCUCGUUUGUCCUAUAUGCGGAUAAAAUAUCUCUUCUUAUCAUGGCUGGCUGUAUUUAUUGGCAGCUGGGUUAUAUAUGUUCGGUACAAUUCCUACACAGAGCUCUGCAGGGGACAUGAUUGUAAAUCAACUAUA
Non-coding RNA from Pelobates cultripes (western spadefoot toad), 1817 nucleotides. NCBI's taxonomy places the organism in Eukaryota, Metazoa, Chordata, Amphibia, Anura, Pelobatidae. The record is from the annotation of a GenBank genome assembly.